AAGUUGGAUUCCGAUGUACCUUGAGUUUUAAGUCUUUACAAGGCCCUGUUCACAAACAGAGGUGGUGUAUGGCGGUUUCGUACAGCAGAACAUCCGAGAACAGAGGUGACGAGGUGUCGAGAGGAGCAGGAGCAGAGCUUCAUGCAGACUAUUAAACAGUGGAUAGCAGCCGUUUCAGGAGUUCAGGAGAAUUUUUUUAGAGAGAGUAUUUGUGAGGGAGAGCUUUCUGUG
Molecule: long non-coding RNA, 231 nt
Filed under: Elaeis guineensis (African oil palm)
Lineage: Eukaryota; Viridiplantae; Streptophyta; Magnoliopsida; Arecales; Arecaceae
Description: long non-coding RNA (EGUI_LNC021336)
Source: RNAcentral